Molecule: non-coding RNA, 148 nt
Filed under: Chlorocebus sabaeus (green monkey)
Lineage: Eukaryota; Metazoa; Chordata; Mammalia; Primates; Cercopithecidae
Source: Rfam by way of RNAcentral
GCCGGGCAUGGUGGCGUGUGCCUGUAAUCCCAGCUACUCAGGAGGCUGAGGCAGGAGAAUUGCUUGAACCUGGGAGGUGGAGGUUACAGUGAGCUGAGAUCGUGUCACUGCACUCCAGCCUGGGUGACAGAGCAAGACUUCGUCUCAA